Molecule: transfer RNA, 63 nt
Filed under: Neoseiulus womersleyi
Lineage: Eukaryota; Metazoa; Arthropoda; Arachnida; Mesostigmata; Phytoseiidae
Description: tRNA-Thr
Source: RNAcentral
GUUCUUAUAAUUUAAGAAUAAAAUAUUAAUUUUGUAAAUUAAUAAUGAUUAUAUCUAAGAACU